Coregonus clupeaformis (lake whitefish) is the source of this 626-nucleotide long non-coding RNA. RefSeq lists it as uncharacterized. The transcript is spliced from 3 exons. Lineage: Eukaryota; Metazoa; Chordata; Actinopteri; Salmoniformes; Salmonidae. The record is from RefSeq and is a predicted model, not a curated record.
ACCACUAAGCUACCUGCCUCCCCAUAUGAUAAUGAGUGGGUCUGGACUCCCUUUCCCUCUGUAGCCUGCGGUUAUCAAACAGAACUCAUAUUAUAUAUCCCAAUGUGUGUGUGUAGCCUAAUCAACAUGUUGACGUUUAUAACUAUUGUGAGCCAAUCAGAAUAUUGCUUCCCAUUGCACGUAGACCACCCCAUUCACCUCAUAUUUCACAAUCUUCCGUGUCAUCAGGAAGUGGACCUACGCGUUCUCUCCUAUGUCUGGCCCGAAGUCAAGAUCUCUGCAUGUCACACUUCAAAAUUAGGAAAAGAGAUACUGAAAAUGAAAACACCAAUGCAAACCCCUGGGGCUGAAAAGAAGGAGUCACACAACAAACUGACAACUGUUACAACGGAACAGUCACACUAACUCUUUUCCCCCAAAUGGAGAUGUGUGAACUCUCCAUGGAGGGUGGUGACCAAUGACGCUGUGAAGAUACAGGAGCAAGCGAAGGAGUUGGAAAGAGCAAGAGAUCAUCAUCUGUUGGAUAGAGUACAAGCAGAUCCGGAAACCAGGCUAUGCUGUUGAUGGUGCGAUUCUGGUGGCUCCGUACAUCAACAUGGAGGAGGAAGUAGCCAGCCCAUCCCCUC